This 64-nucleotide transfer RNA is filed under the name Himacerus nodipes. RNAcentral describes it as "tRNA-Cys". Lineage: Eukaryota; Metazoa; Arthropoda; Insecta; Hemiptera; Nabidae. The record is from RNAcentral.
GGCUUUAUAGUCAAUAAAUGAUAUUAGACUGCAAUUCUAAAGUAGUAUUAAUAUACUAAAGCUU